AGUCUGCAACUCGACUACAUGAAGCUGGAAUCGCUAGUAAUCGCGGAUCAGAAUGCCGCGGUGAAUACGUUCCCGGGCCUUGUACACACCGCCCGUCAAGCCAUGGGAGCCGGGGGCGCCUGAAGUCCGGGACCGCGAGGACCGGCCUAGGGCGAAACUGGUAACUGGGGCUAAGUCGUAACAAGGUACC
RNAcentral lists this ribosomal RNA (190 nucleotides) under uncultured bacterium. Its description in RNAcentral is "partial 16S ribosomal RNA". It matches the Rfam family "Bacterial small subunit ribosomal RNA", at positions 1302 to 1500 of the family's 1533-position model. The record is from RNAcentral.